Molecule: transfer RNA, 62 nt
Filed under: Tapes dorsatus
Lineage: Eukaryota; Metazoa; Mollusca; Bivalvia; Venerida; Veneridae
Also listed under: 1 other name
Description: tRNA-Ala
Source: RNAcentral
GAAUUAGUACUUUAAAAAAAAGGUUAGAUUUGCAUUCUAAAAUUGGCUUGUGUCCUAGUUCU